RNAcentral lists this unclassified non-coding RNA (378 nucleotides) under plant metagenome. RNAcentral's name for it is "partial contains 5.8S ribosomal RNA, internal transcribed spacer 2, and large subunit ribosomal RNA". The stretch from base 1 to 105 matches the Rfam family "5.8S ribosomal RNA", at positions 50 to 154 of the family's 154-position model. The record is from RNAcentral.
GAAAUGCGAUAAGUAAUGUGAAUUGCAGAAUUCAGUGAAUCAUCGAAUCUUUGAACACACCUUGCGCUCCUUGGUAUUCCUUGGAGCAUGCCUGUUUGAGUAUCAUGAAAUCUUCAAAGUAAAUCUUUUGUUAACUCAAUUGGUUUCUACUUUGGUAUUGGAGGUCUUUGCAGCUUCACACCUGCUCCUCUUUGUUCAUUAGCUGGAUCUCAGUGUUAUGCUUGGUUCCACUCGGCGUGAUAAGUUAUCUAUCGCUGAGGACACUGUAAAAGGUGGCCAAGGUAAAUGCAGAUGAACCGCUUCUAAUAGUCCAUUGACUUGGACAAUACUUUUAUGAUCUGAUCUCAAAUCAGUUAGGACUACCCGCUGAACUUAAGC